AGCGAACGCUGGCGGCAGGCUUAACACAUGCAAGUCGAGCGGGCACUUUCGGGUGUCAGCGGCGGACGGGUGAGUAACGCGUGGGAACGUGCCCUCUGGUUCGGAAUAACUCAGGGAAACUUGAGCUAAUACCGGAUACGCCCUUUUGGGGAAAGGCUUGCUGCCGGAGGAUCGGCCCGCGUCUGAUUAGCUAGUUGGUGAGGAAACGGCUCACCAAGGCGACGAUCAGUAGCUGGUCUGAGAGGAUGAUCAGCCACACUGGGACUGAGACACGGCCCAGACUCCUACGGGAGGCAGCAGUGGGGAAUAUUGGACAAUGGGCGCAAGCCUGAUCCAGCCAUGCCGCGUGAGUGAUGAAGGCCUUAGGGUUGUAAAGCUCUUUUAUCCGGGACGAUAAUGACGGUACCGGAGGAAUAAGCCCCGGCUAACUUCGUG
RNAcentral lists this ribosomal RNA (435 nucleotides) under uncultured bacterium. RNAcentral's name for it is "partial 16S ribosomal RNA". It matches the Rfam family "Bacterial small subunit ribosomal RNA", at positions 29 to 507 of the family's 1533-position model. The record is from RNAcentral.